This is a long non-coding RNA of Entelurus aequoreus (snake pipefish), 1271 nucleotides long. RefSeq lists it as uncharacterized. The transcript is spliced from 4 exons. The record is from RefSeq and is a predicted model, not a curated record. Lineage: Eukaryota; Metazoa; Chordata; Actinopteri; Syngnathiformes; Syngnathidae.
CUCACGACUCUUCCUCUUCUUCUUCUUUAUCUUCUUAGCGCCUGCAAAAUAAAAAUAAAAAACAAACGACUUUAGCCGCAUGUGGCGCUGUCGAUUUCACUCAACACUUUCACAUUCGUACUCGGAAACAAACCCCCACCUCCUAAGUACGACCCCGCCUACUUCUAAGAGCGGCAAAUUCAUUUUGCAAAAAGACAGUCUAGUGUGAACAUCUCCUACAGCCGCUUAAAAAACAUGCAAAAAGCAACAACAAAAAAAAACUUACCGCAGAUAGGUGUAGGACUUUCGUCGUCUUUUUCGAUGAUGUUGUCCUCGAGCAAGUCUUCGGUGUGGAGAGUAUUUUGUGGGAAAAACCCCUCUUCUUUCACCGCGAGCAAGCCUUCAGCCUCCGCUGGAACGUCAUUGUUCUUCAAUGUCAACCUCCUCGACACUUUUUGGCGGGAGACCCGUUAAAGGCGUCCAACGCGCCAGAGGCGUAAAAAUCUGAACCACCACCACCGGAGUAAACACCCCGCAUUCAGAGUUAAAAGACUCCAAAGAAAAGACGUCUGGUUCGGUCGACUGAGGCUGAUAGGAUCCGUUGAUUUUAGGAGCACGGAGACUGGCACGAAAAAACCAACGACCUGAGGCAGAAGAUUUCGUCUCCCAAGUAGCGCUAAACAAAAUUCUUCUCUCACGCAACUCAUCCAGCGUCGGCUGAAACAAACAGAUAUCUCCCAUCUGGUAUCGGAAAACGUAUCCAAAAGAUCCAAUCAUUCCAUAACCCUCCAAGCACCACUUCUCACGCAAAGACUCGGUUGGAGGAAUUUGAGUACGAUUCAAAAAAAUCCUACUUUUCCGAGGAGCGUCGUAGUAAGUUUUAUCAUUUUUAUAAAUUGAAACUGGCGUUUCGCUAAUCAUGCCUACUGAAACAACAGCUUUCUCCAUCUUUUCCAUUUUCUCUUAAUGCUCGUACUAACAAAGACUUACCAUUCACAUAUACCAGUGUAUGUGUGUGUGUGUACGUACAUGUGUUAAUACUCAAAAAGUCGUAAAUCGCAUUUUGACAUAAAGUGUCUCCCCCCUUAGCCCCACCUUCCUCUGACCUCCCCUUCACCCCACCCCUCCUCUUACAGGGCCAUCAAUCACAUUUUGACAUAAGGUGUCUCCCCCUCAGCCCCGCCUCCUUCUGACCUCCCCUUCACCCCACCCCUCCUCUUACAGGGCCAUCAAUCACAUUUUGACAUAAGGUGUAUUCCCCCCUCAGCCCCGCCUCCUUCUGACCUCCCCUU